GCAUCCGAAGGUAAAUGGCGGGGUUCGAUUCUGGCUCAGAUGACGCUGUGGAUAUACCGUGCAAGUCGAACGGCAGCACGGACUUUCGGUCUGGUGGCGAGUGGCGAACGGGUGAGUAAUGUAUCCGGAACGUGCCUAGUAGCGGGGGAUAACUACGCGAAAGCGUAGCUAAUACCACAUACGCCCUUCGGGGAAAGCGGGGACCUUCGGGCCUCGCACUAUUAGAAGCGGCCGAUAUCCGGAUUGGCUAGUUAGGUGGGGUAACAGCUCACCAAGGCGACGAUCCCGUAGCUGGUUUUGAGAGGACGACCAGCCACACUGGGACUGAGACACGGCCCAGACUCCUACAGGAGGCAGCAGUGGGGGAAUUUGGACAAUGGGGAAACCCUGAUCCAGCCAUCCCGCGUGUGCGAUGAAGGCCUUCGGGUUGUAAAGCACUUUUGGCAGGAAAAACGGCACAGGGAUAAUACCCCGUGCAGCAGCGGUACCUGCAGAAUAAGCACCGGCUAACUACGUGCCAGCAGCCGCGGUAAUACGUAGAGGUGCAAACGUUAAUCGGAAUUACUGGGCGUAAAGCGUACGCAGGCGGUUCCACGGAAAAGAUGUGAAAUCUAGGCUUAACUUUGGAACUGCAUUUUUUAACUACCAGCUGAAGUAUUGUCAGAGGUGGAAUUCCGCGUGUAUGAUGAAAUGCGCGUAGAUAUGCGGAGGAACACCGAUGGCGAAAACAGCCUCCUGGAUAACACACUGACGCUCAUGCACGAAAGCGUGGGGAGCAAACAGGAUUAAAUGCCUGGUAGUCCACGCCCUAAACGAUGUCAACUAGCUGUUGGGGCCUUCGGGCCUUGGUAGCGCAGCUAACGCGUGAAGUUGACCGCCUGGGAAAUGCGGUCGCAAGAUUAAAACUCAAAGGAAUUGACGGGGACCGCACAAGCAGUGGAUGAUGUGGAUUAAUUCGAUGCAACGCGAAAACCGCCCACCCUACCGCCCAGCAUGUCACCAGGUCGAAGAGAUUUGGGAGUGCUCGCAAGAGAACCGGAACACAGGUGCUGCAUGGCUGUCGUCAGCUCGUGUCGUGAGAUGUUGGGUUAAAGUCCGCAACGAGCGCAACCCUUGUCAUUGGUUGCUACCGAAGGGCACUCGAGACUGCCGGUGACAAACCGGAGGAAGGUGGGGAUGACGUCAAGUCACAUGGCCCUUAUGGGUAGGGCUUCACACGUCCUUACAAUGGUCGGGACAGAGGUCGCCAACCCGCGAGGCCAGUGAAACCCGAUCGUAGUCCGGAUCGCAGUCUGCAACUCGACUGCGUGAAGUCAGAAUCGCUAGUAAUCGCGGAUCAGCAUGUCGCCGGUGUUCGUUCCCGGUCUUGUACACACUGCCAGAAAACUCACACCAAGCAAGGUAGGUUUUACCAGAAGUAGUUAGCCUAACCGUAGGAGGAGCGAUUACGGCCAGGAUUCAUGACUGGGGUGAAGUCGUAACAAGGUAG
RNAcentral lists this ribosomal RNA (1489 nucleotides) under uncultured Bordetella sp. Its description in RNAcentral is "partial 16S-23S ribosomal RNA intergenic spacer". It matches the Rfam family "Bacterial small subunit ribosomal RNA". Lineage: Bacteria; Pseudomonadati; Pseudomonadota; Betaproteobacteria; Burkholderiales; Alcaligenaceae. The record is from RNAcentral.